RNAcentral lists this ribosomal RNA (253 nucleotides) under uncultured bacterium. RNAcentral describes it as "partial 16S ribosomal RNA". It matches the Rfam family "Bacterial small subunit ribosomal RNA", at positions 524 to 776 of the family's 1533-position model. The record is from RNAcentral.
UACGUAGGGACCGAGCGUUGUCCGGAAUCAUUGGGCGUAAAGAGCGUGUAGGCGGCUCGCUAAGUCUUGCGUGAAAUCUCGGGGCUCAACCCCGAGCGGUCGUGAGAAACUGGCGGGCUAGAGUGCGGGAGAGGAGAGUGGAAUUCCUGGUGUAGCGGUGAAAUGCGCAGAUAUCAGGAAGAACACCGGUGGCGAAGGCGGGUCUCUGGGCCGAUACUGACGCUGAGGAGCGAAAGCGUGGGGAGCGAACAGG